CCCGGGCCUUGUACACACCGCCCGUCACACCACGAAAGUCGGUAACACCCGAAGCCAGUGGCCCAACCGCAAGGGAGGGAGCUGUCGAAGGUGGGAUCGGCGAUUGGGGUG
This 111-nucleotide ribosomal RNA is filed under the name uncultured bacterium. RNAcentral's name for it is "partial 16S ribosomal RNA". It matches the Rfam family "Bacterial small subunit ribosomal RNA", at positions 1373 to 1482 of the family's 1533-position model. The record is from RNAcentral.